Molecule: long non-coding RNA, 1518 nt
Filed under: Brassica rapa (field mustard)
Lineage: Eukaryota; Viridiplantae; Streptophyta; Magnoliopsida; Brassicales; Brassicaceae
Description: long non-coding RNA (BRAP_LNC000917)
Source: RNAcentral
UUUAAUCAAUGCUUGAAAUAGCAUAAUUUUUGUUUUUCAAACUCGUGAAACAAAUGAAUGUUUUGUAUCCAGUGUGUAACCUGAGAGGUGUUAAAUUGUAAAUCCUAUUAUGCAUUUGAUAACAAAUAAUAAAUACAAAAUACGAGGACUUGAGUAGCAUAUACUCGAAACUAUUGUACUUUAGAUGUAUAUCAUUCAGGAAUAACGCUUUUUGACAAAAUAAACAAAAAAAAAUCCGUUGAACUGAUAACUUUUGCUGACGUGGGAACAUCUCGUCCCGUAGUGGAUAAGCAUGUAAAUUAUCCAUUCGAAACAGAUCCCAUGCUACUCGCCGUCUCGCUUCCAUCACCACCUACUCUGCUUACCAAUUUUAGUGUGUUUUCUGGCACAAUAAAUAAUCAAAUACUAGCACGUAUAAUAUCAUGUAAAAUUAUUGUUUCCCUAUUUAUGUUUUCGUUAGGGACGAUGAAGUUAAAGCAUGGGUCCACGUUAUGUCGCGUUUCAGUCUCCCUACUCAUCAAGUGGCAAAACUAUACUUGAUUUAUUCGAACGUGAAGUAGAUGACAAGAUUUUCGGUUAGUUAAGUUUCGUAGUUUGGACAUAGCAGGAUAUUAGGUGCUUGUUUUUAUUUAUGGUGUCGCUUGUGCAUCUGCAAGGACAUAUUUCUUAAAACGAUUGUUAGAAAUACCAGGUGUAUGGUAUUAUCCUUUUUAUAACAAAAGAAAUGUGAUUUUUUGUUGUUGUUUUCUGGAAUGUACGUUUCAGAUUGAGCACAUAUGGCUACCAAGGGUUUAUUAAGAUAACUCGUAGGUGGAAUUCUCUCAGCUGUUACAUGUGAUGGAGAUGGGAACAUUCAAACCCAUGCAUGAACAUCCAUGCAACAAAAUUAAACAUAAGUAAUUGGUUACUCCUAGCAACAUCAGUGAUAAUGUAAGAAACAUAUAACUUAGAGAAUCAUUAGCGAUGGGAAACCAUGUUGAAUUUCUCGAUUAUUGAAUGGCUAAAAGUUUAUUUAUUAUGAGAAAUCUUCCAAAGAAACUCCUAUAUAGCCAAUGGCCUUAGAUAGAAAUGUGAAAUAUAAAUAAUUUGUAGAUGCUUAUAGAAUAUAAUGAAAAGUGAAGAGUGUUUCAGGAAUAAGCUGCGAAUAGAAAUAUUCAUGUGGCAUCUUGGACUACUGACCAACUUGGUUUACCUGGUUACAAUCAGCCGUAGCUCGAGAAGCAUCAAUUGUUUCCGUUGUAUUCAAUGGAGCAGAACGGGUUUUCUUUUCUCCCUUUUCUUAUCCAGAUGACCUCAAAUGCCGAGGAAGCUGCUCCGUUCACUUAUGAGACAGUGCAGGAGAUGACUGAAAGCCAUGUUUGACGAGAGUUGUUUGGAUGGUUAAUACAAUCUAGUGGUCCAGAUGACAGCUUAUAUGGAUACAAUGUAAUGAAUUUUAGGGAAUAUGUUCUGAAAGUUAUGAUGGAUACCAAUAACAGAUAGAACAAUAGCAAUACCAAAAAAGCAAGCAACUUGUAU